GUCAUAUUGAAUUUGUUGGAACUUUGAGUAGAAAAUGUUUUGUAUUUGUACAACGCAUUGUGAAAUCGCUUUUAAACGUUUUUUUUUUUUAAAACAGUGUCGUUAUUCCGCAACUUACCAAUCAAAACCAUAAUCCACCAAUGGAUGAUCCUAUCUUUAUGUACAUAAGUAGACACAUCUGCUGGAAUUAAUGAUAAUUUAUAUAAAAUAAUGUGAAGCCUACUACCAUUGUAUGAAAAAUGUAAGCCACUAAGUUUUCAUACGUUUAGUUUUAAACUAGCAGAUGAUUUGUCUGGGAAUCUAACCAGUAUAGAAGAUCCAAAAAUAAUAAUGUUUAUAUGAAAGUGUAUAAAAUUAUGGUUCCAGCACGUUCAAAUUCUAUAUUAUACCUGUCUAGAAAAUUUAUAUAUAUAAAGAAGUGUUUCCUUCAGUCCAGAACGCGCCACCUCGGUCAGAAAGUCAUGCUCUGAAAAAGUGAUACGUGUUUCAGGAAGACAAAACACAUUCUCUCCCCUUCAUUCGACGGCGUUGACGCCUGAGAUUCUUCAGAUUAUCUGAAACGGUCCGAUUUAAGGCUUUCGUGUUAAAUCUCAUUGAUUCAGUCGCUCACGAUGAGUUCUGCGAGACGGUGUGUGUUAGGUAUAAAUAUGUGAACAUAAGGGCGAUCAAGCUUCCAUGCGUUCAUGAUAUUUUGAGAUGCAAUCAACUCAAGCUUUAAACCAGGUCUUCGUGGCUUCAUCAAAACAUGAAUCUAAGAAGGCUCCGUACAAUGAUUUUGAGGGUCCCGGUUUCAAUCCCUAAUACCGUUUAAGAAUCAGUUGACUGGAAGCGGCAGUACCUAAAGUCUGGGUAGAUCGAGUUUCAAGGUCAACAAGAUUUGGUUUCCUAAAGUUUCUGGUGUUGUUUCUGUCAUCCUGAUGUGAUAACUUCUAAUUGUUCUGAGCAGUGUUGGCAAGGGGAUAAAGCUUUAAGAUUAAAUGAGUGCAUUGUUAAGGCUCCCUUAUCUCAGUAAAUUCAUCGCUCAAAAGAUUGCGUUGCAGGUUAGAUCAUUCCGAGAAUUUCAAGAGCUUCACUUGGAAGAACGUCUUCAACUCCUCCGGGGGUUGCUGGUUUGUCGGAGAGCAAUGUUGUAGACAUCGAGAAGGUGUAUAGAAAUGAUACCUUCUUUGAAAGUAGGAGUCACGUGCAAAACAGAAGGUGAUAGUUCAAGCUUGGAUCACUCUAAAACUUUUCAAUUGACUCUUAGGCGCUAUUCCUCCCUCUCCUUACCACAAAGAGAAAGGCUUAUGGGCUCUUCUUGCGGAUUCAAACAAUGUAUGGCUCUUUCAAAAGGUUAGUUUCAUGGAUGGAGCUGAAGCUAUACUCUUCUUCAACUGAUGUUUGUUAGACAUUGAAAAGUUUAGGAGCAAGCGUCGAGGCAAAGAACAAUGAAGUUAGAGAAGGUUAAAAGCCGAUCAAGAUUGGAAAUGGGGAAACGCUAAAAACUUGCAGAAAAUACUAAUAAUUUGACUUGCUUAUGAGUUUGGCGUAAGAGAUGCUUGGAUCAGUUGUGAUCAAAAGACAUUACUUGAGGUUUUGAAAAGAACCAGUGAUUUGGAGGGUGAGGUUACAGAAGAAGGCAUGGAGGAGGAAGAAGAAAAUGAGAAUGAAGAGAAUUAUGAAAGCAAAUAUAGCGAGGAAGAGGAAGAUAAGAAGAAAGGAUCAAAGAGAGUAAAAAAGAUGGGAUCAGAUGAAGAUUGAAAAACAAAAAGGCGUCAAACCUGCACUGUGUAGGUUUUUGCCUCCAAAAUUUACAGUGAUACUCAAUGACUUUAGCAUGUUAUUUGUUCUUCCGCUGAUUUCGUAGACGUUUUGGAUUUUGAUGGUUUUGGACUUUUGUUAACUCUUUAAUUUAUGUCUUGAUCCGACUCUUCUAAGCUUUACUGUAAAAUAAGUUAAUGCUUCCUGUUUCGGUUAUUUACCUGGCUUUGGAUGUGUUUUAAAGGUUUUACUGGGUACAAAGGCUGUUAUGAGAACUUAUGGUUUUGUCGCUGUUUAUCAAAUACACCAGAUCUAGAAAUAAUAUAAUUUGGUAAGGUGAACAUAACCCUUAUACAAGCAACUAUACAAUAGAGAAAAAAAUAUAACAAAAAUGAAACAGAUCCACAUUUGCGCGGUUGAAAUAUAAACACCUACUUUCACAUAUUAUUGAACAUCAAAAACGAAAAACAUGUUGGUGACGAGUCACGAGCAAAAAAAAAAAAUUGAUAACAAACAUAAAUCCCAAUAUAUUUAAAGAUUUAAUAACCCACGUUAGUUAACCAUCUAAUCUAAUACUCUUUCCAUUUCAAAAAUAUAUAUGGUUUAGAACUUUUACCACUAUUAAGAAAACAUACGAAAUUUUGAUUAUCAAUAGAUUAAUUUCUAAACUAACUAUUCUUCGUAAUUUUUAACCAAUAAAAUUUUAAUAAAAAACAUUUAUAUUUUUUGAAUUUACAAUUAACCAUUAAGUAAUGAAUUGAAAAUGUAAAAAAAUAUAUUUUUAAAACCAUUUUUUUCUCUAUAAUGUGGAUUUUCGAUACAAAAGGAAGUAUAAUAUAUGUUAACUAAAUAUCAUAAUAUUUGUACUAUUAAGUUAAAUUAAAAACAAUUUGUAGAAAUUAAAUAAUUUUCAUAUUUUGUAAGUAAUUUUAUAAUAUAAUCAAAUAUUAAUUAUAAACUGAGGGCGCCACGUCAGCAAGAGCAUGCGAAUGUAAAUUGUGAAUGAUGUAGUUGUGAUGAUAUAAUUGUAUUAUUAUUAUUUUUUAAACAAAAACUUAGGUCAGAAAUGGAAUCUUCAUAGUAAAGUAGCCAAAUGUGCAUGCUAAAUAUUUAAAGAGGUAAUUGUAGAAGUUUUAUGUUAUAAAAUAUACAGAGAUGAUAGUAUAUAAAAGUUCACAAAGAACUUAAUAAUUUAUUUUGGCGCUGAACACGUAGAAGUUCUAAGACGGACCACUGUCCAGGAUUCUCUUUAAACAUACGAUUAAAUUUUAACUAAUGCGUUUUUCUUUACUUUUUUUAAUUGUAACAUAGAGAAUUUAAAAUAUCCUAAAACCGUUCAAUUCAUUUCAGAUCGAUGACUGUAAAAGUCAGUGUAUGAGAGAUUAAAUAAGAAAAUUUUUACUUAUUCUAUACAAGAAUUAAUAUUAGGAAAACAAACAAACAAAUUUGACAUUGAAACAAAACCGCUAUAAGGACUAAUACAUCUUCACAUAUGCAAACAACAAUUGUGGUAAAGAUAACAAUAUCUAUGCCAUAAUUUUGCUAUGAACAUGAGAAUAUGAAGAAUCCAUGAAAUUUAUAUAUUGUCAUGAACGGCAAACCGACAUGUCUCGAGCAGACAAAUGUUGGAGAUAGAUUAAAUGUUCCUUACGUGGCGUCUCUAUAUUGAAAAGAAAUGUUAUAGAACUAAUAUGAUCUUUAUAAUUUUGAGUGUCAAUGUUUUCUUAUUUUGAUUAACUUUGCUUUAUUACCCUUUUUCGAUUCAAUAUAACAUUCUACUUUUAAUAAAAAAAAUGCAACUUCAAAUAAUCACCACUUCCACUCAUUUAGCAUGUCGAAAGAUUAUGAUUUCAACAUAAAGAGUAAUUAUUCUUAUAACAUGCACAAAAUAGUUAUCCACAACCCAAUCAUUCCAAACCCGAAAUAUUACAAACCACAAUGCACCGAAUAUGAGAUCAAAGUUUUGUAAAAGAAAACAACAUAAAAACCAUUUGAAGCCCUCACAACAUAUCAAUGCCACAACUCUUAAACAACUAUUGUAAACAAGCAAAAUAUAUCUUAUCAUAUUUAAUCCCUCCUCACGUAAAAAUUUCUAACAGACAAAAAUCAUUAUCAUAUCUAUCACUUACAAAUGCAAACCUAAAACAUAAACCAUAAAAUCAUACAAAAAUAAUAAUCUAGAUCGCAAGUAAAGUAUAUUCCGUCCGUAGGACGGGACGAAACUAGUUAAAAAAUAUUGUUAUUUGUUUUAUCUAAAAUUAUGCUUCCAGCACGUCAUCGCCACGUAGAUAAGUCGAAGGCUCCUGUCUUGACACGUGUCUCACCUCCUCGAAACGCAACACUUCGUUAACUCUCGGAAAUUCGGUUAGUUGGGCUUUGAUAGAAACAAUUGCUUUGGACUUAAAAGGAUAAGUCAAGUGGACUUGUAAUACAAUUAUCGGGUCCCAUUAUAAUUGUCUUCACCUUCACAAUUUUGACGAAGAAAAGCAGUCAUGGGUUUCCGCCAUUGUUGAGCUCAUGUUUGUCAAACGGAAUAUGGAGCUCCAGCUGGGUUAAGAGGGAAAAUCAUUUCCGGCGAAUCUCUGGUGGAAGGCUCCGUUGUGUCGAUUCAGUGUAGUGGUCAGUGGCUGGAGAGCUGGAGAGGCGGAGAGGAGAUACUUCUUCAAAUAGUUUUUUUUAUGAUGACAAUUGUUAGGGUCAUGGCAUUAACCAAAUUUAGC
Brassica napus (rape) is the source of this 4460-nucleotide RNA transcript. RefSeq lists it as uncharacterized. The record is from RefSeq and is a predicted model, not a curated record. The transcript is spliced from 6 exons. NCBI's taxonomy places the organism in Eukaryota, Viridiplantae, Streptophyta, Magnoliopsida, Brassicales, Brassicaceae.